AAAAAGAUGGCUUUGCAUGUAUGUUUUAUGAUCCAUAUUUCCUAUUAUUUUCUUCUUUGUUAUGGAAAAUUUUGUGACAGUAAUAUGAUAGUCAACUUAUUGGUCUAGUCACCGAGAUAGUUGAAUUAUAAAUUGCAUAAUCUUGCAUGAGAAUUUAUGAUGUUUAGCCAAUAAUGAGGUUUAGAAAGUGAACCAUAUCUGCUUCCUAAGUGAAGUUUCACUGGGAAAAGUACAGUACAUAUGACAUUUGUUCGGUGAUGUUUUUAUUUUGAUUCAAGGAAUCA
This 284-nucleotide unclassified non-coding RNA is filed under the name Hevea brasiliensis (rubber tree). The record is from RNAcentral. Lineage: Eukaryota; Viridiplantae; Streptophyta; Magnoliopsida; Malpighiales; Euphorbiaceae.